UGUCUAGGGGCUCAAACCUAAAGAACCUAAAUAUCUAAACGAAGAAAUUCAGUAUCGUAUAGUAAUAUACGAUAUGCACUUUUCUUCUAGUAAGACACUGUGAUUCAUUAGGAAAUGAUACUAUUAUAUAGUUAUCAAUUGGCUACCAAUAGAGCAAUUCGAAGUUCAUGAAUGCAAAUAAUACAAUUAUUUAUUAAACGAUUGUAUAUAUUGCCUUGUGAGCGUUUUGCAUACUGUUUUGUAGCUGCCUGAUGGGUUUUAAAGGCCAUAUUAUUGAUGUUUAGGCAUCACCCAUUUUAUAUGGGUAAAAGAAUAUGUGCCCGAUCAACAGUGGUUAAAUUUGGGAUACCUUUGGGACCCGUCUUGAAACACGGACCAAGGAGUCUAUCUAUUAUGCAAGUAAAUGGGCAUUAAUAAAACCUAUUUGCGUAAAUAAAUUAACUUUUAUUAUGGGAUAACGAGCGUUACUAUGAAUUUAGUGCGUUCCUCCAUCCCGGGGUAUUUUCAUUAACAUAUUAUUUUAUAAUAUGGAAAAUAUACCAUGAGCAUAUUGGAUAUGACCCGAAAGAUGGUGAACUAUGCCUGAUCAGGUUGAAGUCAGGGGAAACCCUGAUGGAGGACCGAAGCAAUUCUGACGUGCAAAUCGAUUGUCAGAAUUGGGCAUAGGGGCGAAAGACCAAUCGAACCAUC
RNAcentral lists this ribosomal RNA (690 nucleotides) under Telmatogeton japonicus. RNAcentral describes it as "partial large subunit ribosomal RNA". It matches the Rfam family "Eukaryotic large subunit ribosomal RNA", at positions 386 to 944 of the family's 3401-position model. Lineage: Eukaryota; Metazoa; Arthropoda; Insecta; Diptera; Chironomidae. The record is from RNAcentral.